Molecule: long non-coding RNA, 403 nt
Organism: Temnothorax curvispinosus
Lineage: Eukaryota; Metazoa; Arthropoda; Insecta; Hymenoptera; Formicidae
Exons: 4
Source: RefSeq, a predicted model, not a curated record
GAGAGGAACCUUGAUGAAAGGACGGUCGACGAUACAAGAAUUUCGUUAAAUUUGCGGCUGACACGGAGAACCCAGCCGAAAUGCAUGUACGUUUCAGCAUGUUGACGAUUUUCCGAUAUUCCGAUGACGGAUCCGCCAUGCUCUCGCCAAAGUAGGUGAUAGACGUCCCGGGGACGGGGCGAUUACAUAUCGACAGCAUACACCAUCAGAGAUGCAGUUACACGGGGAGACAUCCCUGGUCUUUUGGCUGCCGGAGUUUCAGCCCUGUUCGAAUUAUUUCCUCCAAUGUCAUUUUACUGGGCUAUUGAGGACGAGGCAAUGAUUCCAGUUUCAAACAGUUUUGAAACGCUGCCCGCGCGCUGCCACAGCGCAUGGAUCGAGAUAUACACAAAAAUCAUGUAUU